CCAGAAUGUUGCGCUCAACUCCCUGAGCUGUUUAGGCUGGGAUUACGCCUGAUCUCAGAUCAGCGAAUGACUGGGUAGCUCCUUCAUCUUCCCUGUGCUCUGCAUCUGCUCUGAGGUGGGAGUCGACGAGAGGAAGCCAUCUCAGCAGCUCCAGCCCCUGGUGCCCCUGCAGUAGUGGGAGUUCUAGGAUCAUCAAGAAGAAGUCAAGACACAUUCAGUCUGGAUAAGCCAUUUGCUUUUCCUGAGCAGCCUCAUCUCCUCGGACCUAAUCUGAACAGAACAAAUAAACCUGCCAUCAACUCCGGCGCUGACUGCAAGAACACAGAGCUUGAUGAAGCCACCCAGGGCGAAUCUGUCAGCACUGCGAGGAAACAGGGGGAUUACAACGUCAGGAAUCUGUUUAUAAUACUAACAUACGCAUAAAGAACAAUAAAUCCUUGAUGAAAUAAGGGUCUCUUCAACAGUGACAUUCAGCAAAGUCUGGACGACCUUUCAACUGAAUUGUGGUUUCUUGCCCUAAAGAAAUUACAGGAAGCUACCAAACGCUGCCCUUCUUUUCAGGCAUUGUUGAAACAUUUCAAGCGAGGGGCGUGCACGUGUCUUUCGAGAGCCACAGCCAGCCUCCUGGACGUUGUGCUACACUAAAAGGGGUGGGAGAAGAAAGAGAGGAAGAGAAAUGUCUGGAUCACUGAAGGAAAACAGACCCGAACAGAACAGUGGAUGGUGUUUCAGCCUGUGGCGGAUCUGAUCGCAAUUGUGAAAUAUUCUUGGCUCUCGUCCAUGGGAACCGAUCCAGGGUGCAUCAGAGAAAGAAAGAGAGGGAGUCUCACAGGACGGUCCAGAUAGAGCUUGAGUAAUAUUGUGGGGAGUAGAAAGCAAAGUGAAAGCGUGGCUUUUCAACACUUCUCUGUCUCCUCAGACGGAUUACUCCAGAGAGAAACCUGCUGGCAGAUGGAGAACUGAAGCCACACCUUUUGAUCCUUCCUGUGGGUCUUGAGGACAGGACAAAGUCCGAAGAGCUGAAAACCCCCUCCCUUGUGGGCCACCUUCAAUCAAACACAAGCGGUCAAGCCUAGGCAAGCAGGCAAACGGGACUCCUCAGACCUCUUUGCUUUUAAACACUUAAAACUGCCCGUGCUGAACACCGUCAG
Pygocentrus nattereri (red-bellied piranha) is the source of this 1151-nucleotide long non-coding RNA. Lineage: Eukaryota; Metazoa; Chordata; Actinopteri; Characiformes; Serrasalmidae. The record is from Ensembl.